Molecule: ribosomal RNA, 448 nt
Filed under: uncultured bacterium
Lineage: Bacteria
Description: bacterial SSU rRNA
Rfam family: Bacterial small subunit ribosomal RNA
Source: RNAcentral
CCAGACUCCUACGGGAGGCAGCAGUGGGGGAUAUUGCACAAUGGGGGGAACCCUGAUGCAGCGACGCCGCGUGGGUGAAGGAGUGCUUCGGCAUGUAAAGCCCUAUCGGCAGGGAAGAAGCAAGACGGUACCUGACUAAGAAGCCCCGGCUAACUACGGGCCAGCAGCCGCGGUAAUACGUAGGGGGCAAGCGUUAUCCGGAUUUACUGGGUGUAAAGGGGGCGCAGACGGCAAUGCAAGCCAGGAGUGAAAGCCCGGGGCCCAACCCCUGGACUGCUUUGGGAACUGUACGGCUGGAGUGCAGGAGAGGUAAGUGGAAUUCCUAGUGUAGCGGUGAAAUGCGUAGAUAUUAGGAGGAACACCAGUGGCGAAGGCGGCUUACUGGACUGUAACUGACGUUGAGGCUCGAAAGCGUGGGGAGCAAACAGGAUUAGAUACCCCAGUAGAA